GACGAACGCUGGCGGCGUGCUUAACACAUGCAAGUCGAGCGGUAAGGCCUUUCGGGGUACACGAGCGGCGAACGGGUGAGUAACACGUGGGUGAUCUGCCCUGCACUUCGGGAUAAGCCUGGGAAACUGGGUCUAAUACCGGAUAUGACCUCCUAUCGCAUGGUGGGUGGUGGAUAGAUUUAUCGGUGCAGGAUGGGCCCGCGGCCUAUCAGCUUGUUGGUGGGGUAAUGGCCUACCAAGGCGACGACGGGUAGCCGACCUGAGAGGGUGACCGGCCACACUGGGACUGAGACACGGCCCAGACUCCUACGGGAGGCAGCAGUGGGGAAUAUUGCACAAUGGGCGAAAGCCUGAUGCAGCGACGCCGCGUGAGGGAUGACGGCCUUCGGGUUGUAAACCUCUUUCAGCAGGGACGAAGCGCAAGUGACGGUACCUGCAGAAGAAGCACCGGCUAACUACGUG
This 462-nucleotide ribosomal RNA is filed under the name uncultured bacterium. RNAcentral describes it as "partial 16S ribosomal RNA". It matches the Rfam family "Bacterial small subunit ribosomal RNA", at positions 28 to 507 of the family's 1533-position model. The record is from RNAcentral.